Molecule: ribosomal RNA, 497 nt
Filed under: uncultured bacterium
Lineage: Bacteria
Description: partial 16S ribosomal RNA
Rfam family: Bacterial small subunit ribosomal RNA
Source: RNAcentral
GAUGAACGCUGGCGGCGUGCCUAAUACAUGCAAGUCGAGCGAACGGACGGGAAGCUUGCUUCUCUGAUGUUAGCGGCGGACGGGUGAGUAACACGUGGAUAACCUACCUAUAAGACUGGGAUAACUUCGGGAAACCGGAGCUAAUACCGGAUGAUAUUUUGAACCGCAUGGUUCAAAAGUGAAAGACGGUCUUGCUGUCACUUAUAGAUGGAUCCGCGCUGCAUUAGCUAGUUGGUAAGGUAACGGCUUACCAAGGCAACGAUGCAUAGCCGACCUGAGAGGGUGAUCGGCCACACUGGAACUGAGACACGGUCCAGACUCCUACGGGAGGCAGCAGUAGGGAAUCUUCCGCAAUGGGCGAAAGCCUGAUGGAGCAACGCCGCGUGAGUGAUGAAGGUCUUCGGAUCGUAAAACUCUGUUAUUAGGGAAGAACAUAUGUGUAAGUAACUGUGCACAUCUUGACGGUACCUAAUCAGAAAGCCACGGCUAACUACGUG